This 397-nucleotide ribosomal RNA is filed under the name uncultured bacterium. RNAcentral describes it as "partial 16S ribosomal RNA". It matches the Rfam family "Bacterial small subunit ribosomal RNA", at positions 523 to 918 of the family's 1533-position model. The record is from RNAcentral.
AUACGUAGGGAGCGAGCGUUGUCCGGAAUGAUUGGGCGUAAAGGGCGCGUAGGCGGCCCGGUAAGUCUGGAGUGAAAGUCCUGUUUUUAAGAUGGGAAUUGCUUUGGAUACUGUCGGGCUUGAGUGCAGGAGAGGUAAGUGGAAUUCCCAGUGUAGCGGUGAAAUGCGUAGAGAUCGGGAGGAACACCAGUGGCGAAGGCGGGUAACUGGACUGCAACUGACGCUGAGGCGCGAAAGUGUGGGGAGCAAACAGGAUUAGAUACCCUGGUAGUCCACACUGUAAACGAUGAAUGCUAGGUGUAAGAGGUAUCGACCCCUUUUGUGCCGGAGUUAACACAAUAAGCAUUCCGCCUGGGGAGUACGGCCGCAAGGUUGAAACUCAAAGGAAUUGACGGGG